RNAcentral lists this ribosomal RNA (492 nucleotides) under uncultured bacterium. RNAcentral describes it as "partial 16S ribosomal RNA". It matches the Rfam family "Bacterial small subunit ribosomal RNA", at positions 29 to 507 of the family's 1533-position model. The record is from RNAcentral.
AGUGAACGCUGGCGGUAGGCCUAACACAUGCAAGUCGAACGGCAGCACAGUAAGAGCUUGCUCUUACGGGUGGCGAGUGGCGGACGGGUGAGGAAUACAUCGGAAUCUACUUUUUCGUGGGGGAUAACGUAGGGAAACUUACGCUAAUACCGCAUACGACCUACGGGUGAAAGCAGGGGAUCUUCGGACCUUGCGCGAUUGAAUGAGCCGAUGUCGGAUUAGCUAGUUGGCGGGGUAAAGGCCCACCAAGGCGACGAUACGUAGCUGGACUGAGAGGAUGAUCGGCCACACGGGAACUGAGACACGGUCCAGACUCCUACGGGAGGCAGCAGUGGGGAAUAUUGGGCAAUGGGCGCAAGCCUGAUCCAGCCAUACCGCGUGGGUGAAGAAGGCCUUCGGGUUGUAAAGCCCUUUUGUUGGGAAAGAAAAGCAGCAGGUUAAUACCCCGCUGUUCUGACGGUACCCAAAGAAUAAGCACCGGCUAACUUCGUG